Molecule: ribosomal RNA, 234 nt
Filed under: Pseudomonas aeruginosa
Lineage: Bacteria; Pseudomonadati; Pseudomonadota; Gammaproteobacteria; Pseudomonadales; Pseudomonadaceae
Also listed under: 1 other name
Description: partial 23S ribosomal RNA
Rfam family: Bacterial large subunit ribosomal RNA
Source: RNAcentral
GUGGACGAACCUCUGGUGUUCCGGUUGUCACGCCAGUGGCAUUGCCGGGUAGCUAUGUUCGGAAAAGAUAACCGCUGAAAGCAUCUAAGCGGGAAACUUGCCUCAAGAUGAGAUCUCACUGGGAACUUGAUUCCCCUGAAGGGCCGUCGAAGACUACGACGUUGAUAGGCUGGGUGUGUAAGCGUUGUGAGGCGUUGAGCUAACCAGUACUAAUUGCCCGUGAGGCUUGACCAU